This is a long non-coding RNA of Pongo pygmaeus (Bornean orangutan), 2270 nucleotides long. RefSeq lists it as uncharacterized. The transcript is spliced from 3 exons. NCBI's taxonomy places the organism in Eukaryota, Metazoa, Chordata, Mammalia, Primates, Hominidae. The record is from RefSeq and is a predicted model, not a curated record.
UUCCACCCAGUUCCUGAUCAGGAGAGGGCUGGACACUGACCCUUGAGGAAGGAGUGCGAGCAUGGUCACUGCAGAAAGUCCUCCUGCCUUGGAGCUUUAGGAUGUUGGGUUCCCGAACUCUAGUUGAAAAGCCUGGUGUUGAGCCUCCCACUGGCCAGUACGUCUCUCCAGCCUGGUUCUGGCUAAGAUGGAGCUAGAAGGCACGUCUCUCCUAUCCUCCCUACCAUCCCUGGACUCAGACCAGGUGUUUGGCAACGUCUUUGAGACAGGGUGGUUUCCAACCUGUCUUCCAUCCUGAGCUGUAUCUGACCCUUCUAAUUUUGGCCAGCUGGGACCAGCUCUGUCACCUCCGCCCCAUCUGACACAGGAGGAAACUGGUCCAGCCCUAGAGUGAAUCAGGUUGAAGUGAGAAAAGGGGGACAGACUACCCCAAGGGACUGCCAGUGUCAGGCCUGGAGAUUUCCCCCAUAUUCCUGCUGCACACAGCCCUUUUUGGACUGAGAGAAGCAGCUCCCAGCUCCCCUGCCUGGGCGCUGCCUAAAACUCUUAACCUCUUCUCCAAGAAACAGCCCCGGGAGUAUUACCCACUAACAGAGCCAUGAUUCACAACUCUAGCCACAGCAAAGGCCUGGCCUAUGUGGGUAGGCAUCCGUUGAUCCAGAUCAUGGGUACUGGGCAGGCUGGGAGGUACCCCAAGUGGGUAGGUCACACCCAAGUCCAGCCACAAGUUCUGGAGUCUCUGCCCUGUGUGCCCUGACUACACUAGAUUGGGAGGACAAGUUGCUUCCAGGCAGAAGAAAGCAACAACACUUCCUUUCCAGUUCAGCUUUAUUUUGCAAAAAUUUACAAGGCCUCCUUUGCACAGAGAUGCUUGUGGGGACCACAUGAAUCAAUGUGCCCUCAUAGUCCAGACUUGGUGGCAGAGACGGGACACAAGUGCCAUGGUAGACAGUGCCAUGGUCUUUCUUCCUGUGCCCUGGAUAAUUGGAUUAAAAAAAUUGGAUUUAGUGCCGUGGUAGACAGGAGGUGCAGAUGGACCCCAAAAAGGAAGAGAUCAAGAAGUCUUCCCAGAGUAGAAGAUUCUUGCCAAUAUGUCAGAUGGAGAAGGGAGAUUGGCAAGAACAGAAGUCUGGAAGGUUAUGAGAACAGGGUGCAUCUAGGAAGGACAAGGUGUCCAGAGUGGUAAGCAAAGGGUAAGAAGUAGAUGAAAAUGGAAAAAUAGGCCAGACAGCUCCUGAUGCUGUGGUAUAAGCUUUUGACUCUACAUAGUAGGGACUACUGGCUUCAAACCUUUUUGGCAACAAAGUUUAGGUGAGGCUACCCAGGGACCAUAGCCUUUGCUCCUUGCUCCUGACCUGAUCUGUCUUUUCUUCCACAGGUAAGAUCCUGAGGAGGCAGGAGAGGGACAGGGAAGGAGUAUGGGUAGGGGCAGGGGGAGCCCUGGCCCUCCUCCCCUUUCCUCCUGGAGCCUCCAGGGGUCUCAGGCAGCAUCAUCCCAGUCUACUGUACCCUCCUGGCCACUGUGGUCUUCGGUCUGCUUGCCUACGUGGCCUUCAAGUGCUGGCGCUCACAUAAACAAAGACAGCAGCUGGCCAAAGCUCUAACUGCAGGGCUGGGAGGUCUCAAUGACCAGAUCAAUGGGGAUAGCAGUGUCUUCCUGGACUCUCCUAGCAGUCUGGAGCCCCGUGCCUCCAGCCAGGCACCAGGAGAAAGUGGAGCGGCUGUUAGAGGUGUCACGUGAACCUGACAAGGGUGGGCGGGGACUGGCAGACCAUCUGGGCUACCGGGCUGAGGCUGUAGAAAUCAUGGCCCAAGGCCAGGUGUGAGCCUACACACUGCUGAGGGACUGGGCUAUCCAAGAAGACAGUGGUGCCACCCACAAGGUGCUAGAGAAUGCCCUGGUUGCCAUGGGCCAGGAAGAUGUGGUCCAGGUCCUGGGCUCCUAAGCUGAGGGCUGCUCUGUGGUGUCAGUGCUGUCUCCAUAGCUUGGACUCUCUGAGCCUGCUCCGGUGCUCCCCUACCCCCAUCUAUCUUUCCCUUCGUGGGCUUCCUGGGGUUGCUGGGCUCAGCCUGCUCUGUUCUGGGGAAGAAAACCGAAGAUCUAGCCACCAUUCACUUCCCCUCAUCCACCCAUCCCCUCCAGAAGAGGGCCCAAGAUAUGGUGAGGAGUGGGCAGUGAGGAGUGGUCCUGCCCUUUGGAUCCCUACUCCACCUCCUCUUAUUAAGCCUCAGCUGGUUUUGCUACUUUUGUAACCCAUAUUAAAGGUGAU